Molecule: non-coding RNA, 90 nt
Filed under: Clostridium magnum
Lineage: Bacteria; Bacillati; Bacillota; Clostridia; Eubacteriales; Clostridiaceae
Also listed under: 1 other name
Description: c-di-GMP sequence
Rfam family: c-di-GMP-I riboswitch aptamer
About the family: GEMM was predicted in a large-scale screen for bacterial structured RNA regulatory elements. Genes associated with GEMM are involved in a diverse array of functions, including chemotaxis regulation, signal transduction, secretion and chitin.
Source: RNAcentral
UUAAUAAUUUGGCAAACUUAUUAAAAGAUAAGGACGCAAAGCUAUGGGUCUAAGGAGAUCGUAUAUUUCUAUGACUGCCAGGUUGCUCAC